Molecule: ribosomal RNA, 372 nt
Filed under: uncultured organism
Description: bacterial SSU rRNA
Rfam family: Bacterial small subunit ribosomal RNA
Source: RNAcentral
CGUAGGGUGCGAGCGUUAAUCGGAAUUACUGGGCGUAAAGCGUGCGCAGGCGGUUUGUUAAGAUAGGCGUGAAAUCCCCGGGCUCAACCUGGGAACUGCGCUUAUGACUGGCAAGCUAGAGUACGGCAGAGGGGGGUGGAAUUCCACGUGUAGCAGUGAAAUGCGUAGAGAUGUGGAGGAACACCAAUGGCGAAGGCAGCCCCCUGGGUCGAUACUGACGCUCAUGCACGAAAGCGUGGGUAGCAAACAGGAUUAGAUACCCUGGUAGUCCACGCCCUAAACGAUGUCAACUAGGUGUUGGAUGGGUAAAAACCAUUUAGUACCGGAGCUAACGCGUGAAGUUGACCGCCUGGGGAUACGGCCGCAAGGUUA